CCCGCUGAACUUAAGCAUAUCAAUAAGCGGAGGAAAAGAAACUAACAAGGAUUCCCCUAGUAACUGCGAGUGAAGAGGGAAAAGCUCAAAUUUAAAAUCUGGCAGUUUCACUGUCCGAGUUGUAAUUUAGAGAAGUGUUGCCCGCGUUGGACCGUGUACAAGUCUCCUGGAACGGAGCGUCAUAGAGGGUGAGAAUCCCGUCUUUGACACGGACUACCAAGGCUUUGUGGUACGCUCUCGAAGAGUCGAGUUGUUUGGGAAUGCAGCUCUAAAUGGGUGGUAAAUUCCAUCUAAAGCUAAAUAUUGGCGAGAGACCGAUAGCAAACAAGUACCGUGAGGGAAAGAUGAAAAGAACUUUGGAAAGAGAGUUAAACAGUACGUGAAAUUGUUGAAAGGGAAACGCUUAAAGUCCAGUCGCGUUGGUUAGGAAUCAGCCUUGGUUUUCCUUGGUGCACUUCCUAGUCGACGGGUCAACAUCAGUUUUGACCGUUGGAUAAAGGUCAAGGGAAUGUGGCACCUUCGGGUGUGUUAUAGCCUUUGAUUGUAUACAGCGGUUGGGACUGAGGAACUCAGCACGCCGAAAGGCCGGGUCUUGUACCACGUUCGUGCUUAGGAUGUUGACAUAAUGGCCUUCAACGACCCGUCUUGAAACACGG
Molecule: ribosomal RNA, 656 nt
Filed under: uncultured fungus
Lineage: Eukaryota; Fungi
Description: eukaryotic LSU rRNA
Rfam family: Eukaryotic large subunit ribosomal RNA
Source: RNAcentral